This 896-nucleotide ribosomal RNA is filed under the name uncultured Flavobacterium sp. RNAcentral describes it as "bacterial SSU rRNA". It matches the Rfam family "Bacterial small subunit ribosomal RNA", at positions 33 to 934 of the family's 1533-position model. Lineage: Bacteria; Pseudomonadati; Bacteroidota; Flavobacteriia; Flavobacteriales; Flavobacteriaceae. The record is from RNAcentral.
AAGCUAGCGGCAGGACUAACACAUGCAAGUCGAGGGGUAGAGGAAGCUUGCUUCCUUGAGACCGGCGCACGGGUGCGUAACGCGUAUGCAAUCUGCCUUGUACUGAGGGAUAGCCCAGAGAAAUUUGGAUUAAUACCUCAUAGCAUUAUGAAAUCGCAUGGUUUUAUGAUUAAAGUUCCAACGGUACAAGAUGAGCAUGCGUCCCAUUAGUUAGUUGGUAAGGUAACGGCUUACCAAGACGAUGAUGGGUAGGGGUCCUGAGAGGGAGAUCCCCCACACUGGUACUGAGACACGGACCAGACUCCUACGGGAGGCAGCAGUGAGGAAUAUUGGUCAAUGGACGCAAGUCUGAACCAGCCAUGCCGCGUGCAGGAUGAAGCAUCUAUGGUGUGUAAACUGCUUUUGUACGGGAAGAAACACUCCUACGUGUAGGAGCUUGACGGUACCGUAAGAAUAAGGAUCGGCUAACUCCGUGCCAGCAGCCGCGGUAAUACGGAGGAUCCAAGCGUUAUCCGGAAUCAUUGGGUUUAAAGGGUCCGUAGGCGGCUUUAUAAGUCAGUGGUGAAAGCCCAUCGCUUAACGAUGGAACGGCCAUUGAUACUGUAGAGCUUGAAUUACUUGGAAGUAACUAGAAUAUGUAGUGUAGCGGUGAAAUGCUUAGAUAUUACAUGGAAUACCAAUUGCGAAGGCAGGUUACUACAAGUGGAUUGACGCUGAUGGACGAAAGCGUGGGGAGCGAACAGGAUUAGAUACCCCUGGUAGUCCACGCCGUAAACGAUGGAUACUAGCUGUUCGGAGCAAUCUGAGUGGCUAAGCGAAAGUGAUAAGUAUCCCACCUGGGGAGUACGCACGCAAGUGUGAAACUCAAAUGAAUUGACGGAAGGGCGAAUUCUGCA